ACUGCGAGUGUUAGAGUCCAGCUUGCAAAAUAAUACUCCCUGUGUGUACAAUACAUCCACAAUCCACAGUUUACUCUUCGUAAAAAUUAAUGCAAAGUACUUACCUUGCUUCUUCCUAAUCCCACAUGUCAAGUCAUUUUUUUCAUUUGGUUUACCUCAUUACCACAUAAUCUAUUGUCUGAGCAAAAUUUCUAUGCAGAGCUUCAUCUUGGAGUUGUACAUUAUUUUAGCCUUGUAAAAUUCGCCCCAUGCACACACUGGUGGCACAUGAGGGUCUUGUAUGAAAAUUCCUAAAUCUCUGGUUAGUAUGUGUAAAUCCAAUCUGUUCAUCGUAUAGCGAAUACCAUUUCAAAGUUUCAUUGUCUCACUCCCUGGACGAAAUAUAUGAUGUACUCAACAUUUUUUUCUUUCCCCUGCAGGUGUUCUUUGCUCAUUCUGGUUGGUUCUUAGAUACUUUACAUUUACAUUUUGGUCGUCUUCCAUGAUGACUUGAUAGUAUGCUUGGCUUAUUCGACUGUGAUGGUCAAAAGAUCACCAUGGAAUAAUAUGGUGGAAGCAAGGAGAUCUGGUGACUUUCUACUGAAAUUAAGGUCAGCCGUUUUUAAAACUCGGUGCUGCACCAGAUGAAGAUAGAAGGUGUUCUUGCAUAUGUCUUAAUUGUUGUUGCUUAACAGAAUUUAAUGGAUGCAGGAACUUUACAAGAAUACCCCUCAUUUCGAAUGAUUGCUGGUGUGCAGCGAAUUCAGAUCUCCUCUUGUUAUUAACUGGUAUGGCCAAUGUUCUCCUUUUCAUCCAUAUAGAAGUCUACAAGAUAACUUGUGUAACCCUUUAGACUAAACUAUGGUUCUUGGGUUCUUGAUAGAUGUGGCAUGUGGCACAACUUUGGAACUUGAUGAUGUACAGGCACAUGUUUGUUAAUGUACAACCCUUUUGUGCUGAUGCAAGGUUAGCAAACCCCUGCCGAAAUUCAUGAUCGCUUUAGCUAUGCUAGAUUGUAUUCAGUGUGUGAUUGUCAAACUCAUAUUGCCUCGUGAGACCUAGGUUAGAGAACUUGUUGCUUUCUUGAUAAGUUGGUAGUCUAGCUUUUGAGCACACUCAUAAUCUCUGAAUUCAUUGCCAUGCUGAAUUAAAUGACAUAAGAGAGUUUUCAGCUGAUACAUAUAGUCGUAAAGGUAGAGAACACUUAUUAUUAGGGAUUGAUGAACAUCGAUUGAGCAAAAAAGGCUCGAGUUUGCUAAUUUUUAUUCAUAGAACCACCUGAGUUAAGCAUGGUGAAGGUGAUUUUAUUCUCUUAUUGGCCAGAGUAAUUUUUUUUUCUAUCCCACCAAUGCCAAAAACAGAGCACAAUUCAUUAGCCUUUGAUUAUUGCAAUCUGAAUAUUUAGUGCGUAUUGUUAAGUUUGAUGUUCCUCUAGUCUGAAGUCUUCGAAAUCCAGUCAAUCUUUUUGCGUAACUUAUAUUUUGCUAGCCUCUUCAACACUCGGCAUUGCAUUCCCUCAUCGGGAUAUCACAAACUCUGCCGGUGUACAUAUACAAAUCCCUGAAAAUAAACCAUUUCUUCCAUGUGUUCACACCAUACCUACCUACCUAUAUAGCACAUCUCUCCCUAUCCCACAGUAGUUGAUUAUUCCAUACGCACACUCAUCAAGUGAAAGAAGACUCAAAAGCGCUUUGUUGUCAUUGACCCUGCAAAUUUCAUAUUAUGAAGAGCUAUAUUCGUCAAUAUUGAUGACUCUCUCACAAAAAUCAAAAAAAAAGUGAGGGUCGUCAUUCAAAAGAUCAAGGGUUCAAAAGAUCAAGAAAUAGUCAGCAUUGCUUCCAUAUUCAUGAGCAGAAUUCAGAAUGGCUAAUCAAACUACUACCUAUGCAAUAUUGAUAGCUUGAGCAUUAGUCGCAUUCUGGGAUCACCUUGCAUUGCACAGGCAUCUCAUCAUUUCUUUGGCGUGAGUCCAUUCCCUCCCACCUCCCCUGGGCACUACCUUUCUCCAAUGACUGGAAUGUGAAGACUUCUUUGUACUAGAGUGGAACACUUAUUUAGCUUUACUAUCUAGAUUUCAGUUUUGCUCAUUCUUUGAAUUACCCUACCAAGCUUCAGAUAAGCUUUCCACAAAUAUAAAGUAGAUAGAAAACACUUCGGCCACUGGCCAGUGAGGACUAUAAUUAUGCGAUCGAUGAGAGUAAUUCCAGAUCAUGACGAGGUAAUCUCACUAGAUACCUGCUCUUGGAAGGUUCACAAAGGAAUAAAACUGUUGGCUGCUUGUGUUCUCUUUUGUUCUUGAAAUUGAAGUCAAACCUCCUAGUGAUUGUUUUCAAAAACUUUCAUGGCUAUAUUGUUGAUUCUGUUCACUCUCAUAAAAUGGAACCCGUUCCAUAGUGGCAAUGAAUAGGAGUUGUUAUUUAAGCUUGUGCUCAAUUGCUAGCCUGCUACUUUGAUAAGUUUGUGGGAAGUGUCUCGAUCCAAAGUUUAUGAGGAUUUUAAUAAUUGUUUGCACAUGAGCACUUGUCUGCAAUCUCGCUAUGCUAAGCUUUCAGGUGUUUCACAAGCACAUGGGCAAGUUGAAUCACGAGGGAAGAAUCAGAAAGGGAGAAACCUGAGAUGAACCAUACCCUUUGUUUGUCUUUGCAGCCUGAGAUGAAGAGCCUAUAAGGAAGAGAGGAUACUUUUUUCGCAGUCAUUUCCUUGUAGCUUCAGUUUGUAGUAGGUUUCGAUGAGUGGUACGAAAACAGGACAAUUUUUUUGUCAUUCGUUUUCUCAGUGUGGGCAUGUAUAUUCAGUGAAAUGAAAUGCAGUUCUUUGCAAUACUUCUUCAUAUCUGAACCUAUGCUUGGGUGUCACUUUUGGCUGUCUGUGCUAACGCAUAAUUAAAUAAAGACACC
RNAcentral lists this long non-coding RNA (2876 nucleotides) under Triticum aestivum (bread wheat). RNAcentral describes it as "long non-coding RNA (TAES_LNC023091)". The record is from RNAcentral. Lineage: Eukaryota; Viridiplantae; Streptophyta; Magnoliopsida; Poales; Poaceae.